UACAGAGGGUGCAAGCGUUACUCGGAAUUACUGGGCGUAAAGCGUGCGUAGACGGUUAUGUAAGUCGGGUGUGAAAGCCCCGGGCUCAACCUGGGAAUGCCAUUCGAGACUGCAUAGCUAGGGUGCGGAAGAGGGAAGCGGAAUUUCAGGUGUAGCGGUGAAAUGCGUAGAUAUCUGGAGGAACACCGGUGGCGAAGGCGGCAUUCUGGACCGAAACUGACGCUGAGGCGCGAAAGCCAGGGGAGCAAACAGG
RNAcentral lists this ribosomal RNA (253 nucleotides) under uncultured bacterium. RNAcentral's name for it is "partial 16S ribosomal RNA". It matches the Rfam family "Bacterial small subunit ribosomal RNA", at positions 524 to 776 of the family's 1533-position model. The record is from RNAcentral.